RNA transcript from Sus scrofa (pig), 8587 nucleotides. RefSeq lists it as uncharacterized. NCBI's taxonomy places the organism in Eukaryota, Metazoa, Chordata, Mammalia, Artiodactyla, Suidae. The record is from RefSeq and is a predicted model, not a curated record.
AGCGAUCUCCCGUCACUCAGCCAACACUCCCACCCGCGUUUUUUAGGGAAAAUUUUCUGUCAUCUGCCAUUUCGUUUUGUGGGCGUGGACUGCAUCAUUCAGUACAGACCUCUAUUCUGGUUCUUAUGAGCACGCAGGGCAGGUCAGCUCCUUCAGAGAAUUGAAUCCUGAGGUCUUUGCAGAGCACUUGGCAGAAAGGAGCAAAAUAAAUGGAAGGGAAGACAAGAAAGCUUAUGCAGCAUGUGUUCUGGACUUAUUUCAACCAUCCAGGCAUCAAGCAACAGAAGAAAGAAGAUAAAGGUAUAUGCUGCUGUGGCUGGUGGCAUGAUGGGAACAGCAGGAGGAAGUUGAUGGAUGCCAGCUUGGAAGAGGAGUUGGAGCAAAUUCUUCAUAAGGAAGAUGCUGCCUGUCCUGCAGAUGCCCACAAUUUCAUGUGUGAUGACGGCUCACGCGGACCAGCCCCACCAAAACAAUUACUUCCAAUUUACUUUAAAAAGGGGUUUGUCGUUCUAUCAACCAUCCCCAAUCACUGCCACCCUCUGAUUUUCCAACUUUAGAAAAUCACAGGUAUCUUCUGAUUUUCAUCAGCCUUCAGUUCCAAAAAAGAAUAUGCAGGGGCAUUUUAAGAUUUUCCUUUUAUUCACCAUUGUACCUUCAAUACUGUUACAUGCAUAACACUAACUACAGUAAACACUUGAUAAAACCUAAGACAGUAAAGUGGCUUUUCAUGGAGUCUGGGACUGGAGACUGCUGGGCCAGUCUGAACUAGAUUCUUAAAAUAGGCCCUUUCCUUGCUGUGUGCCUCAAGGGCACUGCUUUAACCAUUGUUUUAGUUGGUUUUUUUUUUUUCACUUUUUAUGUAUUUCUGGAUACAGGUGUUCAAGUAUUGCAUCCUUUUGCACGUGGUAGGAGACCUGUUGCUGAUUUUACCAGUGUUGUCUGGGUUUCGAAAGUCGGCUCUGAAUGUCUGCCCUCUAUUCCCUCCAACUGCCGGCAGUCAGAAGUCGUAAUUUAUCAAACUGCCAGAAUCUGUUUCUUAUUAGCGAACUUUCCCUUUAACACUUUAAAUCUGGGCUCAUCGUUCAGCUUAUUGCAUGAUGCCAGAAUCUGAUUAUGCUUCAGCUACCAUCUAAAGCCUUCCCUGUUGCCAGGUCCAUGAAUGCUUUCUAUUAGCCUUUCUCACCCCAGAAAAGCUCUUCAUAGUGUAAUGAAAAUUGUAAUGUAAUUGUAAUGAAAACUAUCACAGUUCAGGCGCACAAAAACGGAGUUGGGCAGCCACUGAGGAUCUGGUCUUAGACAUGUCCCUGCACCACAAGAACUUGAAUUUGCUGUGAAUGUAUCAAACCGAGGACAUCACCAGCCAUAUCUGGAGCAACAGUUGUUAGCAACAACUUUGUGGUCUCAAGUUUACCUCUUGUUACUGUGCAACCAUUUCAGACCCCAACCAAUCCUUGCUUAUCAAGCACCCCUACUUCUUGCCAGCUCCAAUUGUAAUUCUUGACAAGUAAGUUCCGUAACUGUGGUUUGCAGUUUUUGCCUUUAUAAGCUUCCUCCAGUUAUGUAGUCUAGAGGAACACAAUUCAAGUGCUUCUUGAUUCUGUGUUUCCCAGACUACAGUCCUAACAAACCCCAGAUAAACGCCUCCUUAUUUCAAUUAGGUCUCUGUUUCUGAAAUUUUUGAUUAACACUAUCAUGGCUUAGAACUUUGGUUAUCUCCUCUGCAUGCCGCAUGCUGCCUCAGUUUGAAUCUUCUAACAACACAAACUCGUACCUUUCAAUGUGGAAAGUCAGUUUCAAAUAAAAGUCUUAUGAUUAAUCAACAAUAAUCUCAGGGGAAAAUUAUAGAUAUUGGGGGGGGAUAUUGUUUUAUUUUGCUUUGGAUACAGUGAGUCAGAGUUCAACCUUCUUUUCUUUUCUACCUCCCCAGCUUCCAUAAGGUUAAUUAGUAUGCACAUACACAAGAGCACACCCCCCCAUACAUUUUACUUCCAAGCAGAGACAAAAAAUCAGUUUAAGUUAAUGGAUCUUGACUCGGAAAAACACUGUCUAACAGUGUCAAAGAGAUGGUCUAGCUUCCUUGGGCAGUGCUGACUCAUCGAAGACAGAUGUUAACUUAUAUGAGCUCUAAAAUUUGAACAAAACCGAAAUGUAUCAUUAGUAAGCCUUAUGAAAUGUUUCUCAACAAACACUGGGGAUGGACACACACACACACACAGGCAGACUUAGAGCUUCCAAUCCAUUCUGUUCCAUUCUGAUUUUGUCUUAUUGCACUAUUCUCUGCUUGGAUAUUAUUUUCCAUAAACUAAACUUGAACAUAAUUAUUUGAUUAUCAUACUGAGGCUCAUUUUUAAAUGAAAGGUGAAUUUUGGUAAUUUGUGUAACAAUGCAAACUUAAUUUCCCUACUAGUAAAAUUAGGUAGUGAUACUGCCUAAUGGCAGGGAAAAGGAAAUUCCCAGAGAGGCUACAUUGGAGGAAGAUGGGCAAGGAACUGGGGUGGCUCAAGGACAUGCCCAUGUUUACAUCACCUACCUAAUAAAUAACUUGGCCACUAAAGCUAAUGCUUUCUUCUAUAUUGGAUUUGUUCUUAUUUAUUUUUUGAGUUUAUAACUUCAGAACUUAUAGGGGGAGAUAGGAUAAGAUUGAGGCAUGGAAGGGACCCAGACGAUUGUGGCACGAAAGUCAUUUCUUUGUGGUUUGUGUAGACUACGAAAACCAGAUAUGGACUUAUGUUGUUGUCAGAAGCUCCCCUGGUCUCCAAGGCUGGUAAAAGCAGAGUAAGCAGAUGCAGAGCCAUGCCGCCCACUGCCCCAACCCACAAAACAGCCAACCAUCCCCUAAAACUCCAAUACGGUUUGGGUGGUGAAAAGCGCCGAGAGUGAAAUGAAGAUCUGACAAGGAGAAGCAGCAGAAAUUGAGCCAAGAAAAGGCCACUUAAGAAGAAAGCAAUGGGCUGGGUAAAGUUAACAAGCCACAGGCUAACGUUUCAAUAAGGCUGGGAUCAAAAACACUUGCGUGGCACCGCCCAGCGUCCGUCACGUGGGCGCCGUGGGAAGAGGGCUUGUGUAGGGGCCCAGAGCUGCACGGAGAAGCUUUGCUGCCUGUAACCUGCGGUUCUGGGUUUCGGCUCUCCGUGGACUCCACCAGCCGCUGCCCUUGUGGGUUGUAGAGGAGCCUCGGCAGCAGCGCAAGCGUGCACAGAGCUGAGCCGGCCACUGCCCCUGGAGCCCGAGGGCAGGAAGGAGGUGCUGUUCCCGAACCUGACUUCCCAUCAGUCCCAAAGUGCUCCAGGUAAGAAACUGAUGCCUUUCCCAGGCAGCAACUCUGAACAGCUGGAACUGCAAUCCAGAGUGAUUGGUACCCAGUAACCUGAUUCUCCUACUGCUGAAGAUGGUCUUCUAAGAAGAUAAAAGGAGAUAAUACCAGAGUUGCUAAAUUCCUCUAUCCGUCUGGACCCAGAAUAAUGCAGCAGCCACUAUGUUGAACGUCAAUGGCCUCUAUAACACACAGAAAAGUGAGAUGUCUGGAGACUCUUACACCAACAGCUAAAUGCUUUGCCUGGGAAAUAACUCUGUUACUUCCACAAACAGCUUAUUAACUGGAAUAAAUUCCAUGCAUAUAUUGUUUGUAAUUGUUAUAUUUUCCUGAAGAUGUGUUUAUCAUUAUGAGCUCUCCUUCAUCUCUAGUAAAAAUUUUUGUCAUGAAGUCUAUGCUAUUGGUAAAGUCUGAUAUUCAUAUUGCCAUACCAGAUCUCUUUUGGUUACUGUAUGCAUGGUGUGUCUUUAUCCAUUUUAUUAUUCUCAAUCUAUAUGCCUUUGAAUCUAAAGUGUGUUUCUGGAAGACAGCAUAGAGUUGUAUAAUUUUUUAAAUCAUUCUUCCAUUCCAGCCUUUAAUUGGUAUGUUUUCUCCCAUUUACAUUUAAUUACUGAAAAGGUUAUAUUUGUGUCAUCCGUUUGCUAUGUUUUCUAUGUGCCUUAUAUCAUUUUUUCUUUUCCUCUCUUACUGCCUUCCUUAGUGUUAAAUAAUUGUUUUAUAGUACAUCUGUGUGAAAAAUAAUUAAUUUUACUCAGUGAUCUGGCCUCUGCCCUUAUUAGUUCCUGGGGUAUAAUAUCUAAGACUUUGGAACAUCUAGACUCAUAAGAGUAUAUUUGUUUAUGUGGGGACUUUGAGCCACAGGAGAUAGUAACAAUGUGAUUUAUUGUGAAGAUUCGAGGUUAUGAAGUAUUAGCUUGACCUUUGGAGGGACUGGAGGCAAAAGAUCAGCCACAUAUGUGGUCAUCCAUAUCUACAUGACAACACACUAGUAAAAACUUUGGGCACCAGGGCUCCUGUGAGCUUCUGUCAUUGGCAGUGAUCCAUUUGUCUUCUCUGAACAUAUUGUUGCCAGGAGGAGACAACAUUCUCCAUAACUCUGCUGGGAGAGGAAAAGUGGAAGCUCUGUAUUUGGAACUCUUCCAGAAACUUCCCAAUGUGUCUCUUCCCUUGCCUUAUUUUAAUCUAUAUCCUUUUACUGUAAUAAACUGUAACGGUGAGUGUAACAGUUUUUGGUGAGUUCUGUGAGGGCUUCUAGUAAAUUACCAAGCUAGAGUGGUCUUGUGGAUCUCUGAAUUGGCAAUUGGUGUUAGAGGUAAAGUAGUCUUAUGGCCUAUUUCCUAACUUUACAAUGCCAUUUUAAUUCUCAUGUUGUUUACUAUAUUUUUAAAGUUAAUUACCUAAAUGUAAUUGUUAUGGGGAUUAAUUUAUUAAUUUAACAUUUUAAUUUAAAGCAAUGUAGAUUGAUUUAACAUCAACUUAAUUUUUGUAGUAUAAAAAAUUUUGCCCCACUAUAGCUCCACUCCCCCUUUUUAUGCUAUUGUUUCCAUACAAGCUACAUCUUUAUACAAUAUAAAGCCAAUACAGUUUUACACUUGUUACUUUAUAUAAUUGUCUUUUGUAUCAGAGAUGAGAAUUAUAAACAUACUUUUUAUAUUCUUUUUAAUAGUUCCCUAUGUAUUUACCUUUUCUAGUACUCUUUUGGUAUAGGUUUUAAUUAUAGUCCAGCGUUCCUUUUUUUUUUUAAUUCAGGCUGAAGGACUCUUAUUUAUUACAGAAAAUUUAUGCUAGUGACCCUUUUUCUCAUUGGUUGUUGAUUUGAGAAUAGCUUAACUUCUCACUCAUACAUGAAGAAUAGUUUUGCUCGAUAUAGAAUUCUUGAUUGACAGCCUCUUUUUCUUUAGCACUUUGACUGCCAUUCUAUGCCUCUGGUCUUCAUGAUUUCUGAAAAUAAUUCAACUCUAUCUUUUGAAGUUCGCUUUUAUUUGAUGCAUCACUAUCUCCUGCUUCUUUCAAGAUUUUGUUUUUAGUUUUUGACAGUUCAAAUAUGAUGCAGCAAGGUGUAUAUUUAUUUUAUUCCAGUUGGAAUUUAUUAAGACUUGUGGAUAGGAAAAUUAAUUAUAUUCACUAAAUUCUUGACUCUAUUAGCCAUAAUUUCUUCAAAUAAACAUUCUCCCUCUUUCUUUCCUCUAAGAUUCUCAUUGUAUGUACGUUGUCAUGCUCGAUGGAAUUUCUCAGGUCUCUGAAACUUUGUUCAUUUGCGUAUAACUUUUUAAGAUUUUUUUCUGUGUUCAGAUAGAUAAUCUUAAUAAAUCUAUCUUCAUGUUAGCUGAUUCCUUCUUCUGCCAUUCAAAUCUGCUGUUGAACUCCUCUAGUGAUUUUUUUUUUAGUUACUAUAAAUUUCAACUCCAGAAUUACUGUAUUGUUCUUUUAAAAAAAAUUUGUUUUCAUUGCUGUUCCCUAUUUGAAGAAGCAUUAUUCACAUACUCCUUUAAUUUCCUUGAUAAGUUUCCUUUAGUUAUUUGAGCAUAUUUAUAAUAGUUCAUUAAAAAUCUUUCUAGGUUCUAAAUCUUGGACUCCUUUUUUCUUGUAUAUAGGUAACAAUUUGUUUCCUUAUGCAUUUCAUAAUUUUUUGUUGAACACUGGGCAUUUACAAUAGUAGAUUGUGACAUCUAAGCAUAUAAAAUUUUAUUUUAUUUGGAUUCGUGAUUAAUUGCUAGUGGUUGUUGUCAUUGUAGUAGUUAUUGAUAAUUAUUUGUUUAGCACUUUUCCUGGACUAAUUCUAUAUAGCUUCUAUUCUCUGUUAAGCAUAACCACUGAAGUCAAUGCUUAAUUGGUGUAGUGGUCAGCUAAUGAUCAGACAGGGACAUCCUUAAACACAUUGAAACAGUAAGUCUCCCAGUCUUUGCCUGAGAUCUCUGCAUUCUGUGGGGAAUGCAUUUUUUCCAAUAGGAAGUUUACAAAUCCAAUUUAGCUGUCAUUUUCUGCUUGUGCAGACCCUCGAGUUCAGCCACAGGUGAGAAUUUAGGCCCCUUUCAGUGCUUUCUGUUACAUACACACAACCCUGCACCUCUGUGUGACCUUUAUAUCUCCAUGGUUAUGUCAGAGCUUUAACAAGCUACCUGUGGAAACCUCUUUUUCAUUUAGUCCUUUUAAGACUUUUUAUCAGACUGUUAGCCGCAGUGGGUGACAUACCAGUGAAGAGUGAUAUUAAACCACUGCUGAUUGUUUUCAACAAGUGUCCCAGAGAAAAGGCAGUUGAGAAAUCAAACAGAUCAGUUCUAAGAUCAAAUAAAAACAAAUUCUGAUAAUGGAAUUUCUCAAGGAACCAUCAGAAAUGUCAAAUACUCACCAAACCUAGCUUGCCAUUUGACUGCUAGGUUUCUGGUUUUCAUAGCUACAUUACUUGCAAAGCUGUUGAUAUCCAAGGAUACAACUGACCUGAGAAGAAAAAUAUGGAAAUAGGAUAAGUUAAAAUGCCACCAAGUUCACCUUUUUUAUUGAGAUUUUGCCAUUAUCUGGAUUGUUACAAGCUUUUGAUUAAUUUUCAUAGUUCUGAGAAGUGUUGACUUUAACAGUUGUUGCCAGUGUUGUCAUUAUGUUUGUGGAGGAAUGGACUUUCAGAGAUCCUAUCUCCACCAUUUAGCUAACUUUUCUUAUAAAAAAAUUUUGAGCAAAAUAUUGAACCUGAGAUUUAUAUCAAGCACUAUAAUGAAGACUAAAAAAAAAUUUAAAUGAUGGGGAAAAAUAAGAAAAAAGUCAGAUUCUAAUGGCUCAUUUUUAUGUUUACUGCUAACUUUGAAAUGAGUGAAAUAAAAAAAAAAUGCAUGAGUGAAUAUGUGUAUGUGGGUGUUUGAUUCAGCAGGCUUUGGACUUUGUAAAACAAAUCCUGAAAGAAAAUGAAAUUAAUAUUUUUGAUGAUUUCAUUAUCCUAAACCUUUUGAAGUUAAUGGGAUAUGUUUUAUAAGAACCCAUUUUAUGUCAUGUUUAUAUGGACCUGUAUACUGCACUUGCUGGUCGAAUAAAUACACAAUGGCAGUUUCCCUUGUACUCUUUCAACAACCAGCAAUGCAGUGAAUUUCAGUUAGUCAAGUGACAUCACCUGCAACCCCGGAGGAAUGAGAUCAGAUAAUGUGCAGGACAAUGUCCUUAUGUUGGUAUGAAAAACUUAAUUAUGAACACCAUUGAGGUUUAUUUUGUUGUUGUUGUUAUUGUAUUACUUGUGUACAUGCUGUUUUUUUGGUGAAUUCUAGAAAUAUCCUUUUCUUCCCUUGGAUAUUUUAGUGAUCUUUCAUCUCAGUGUUAUUCAAACAGCUUAGGAUUCUACAGGAAAUGAGAGAGAGUAACAGGCAGUCUCAAGCCAGCAGUCCUCUCUUCAGGGAAAGAUGUCUCCUUUCAUUUCCUAUGUAAUAACUGUGACUUUCAUUUUGUUACAUGUGGUAUUUAAUUCAUCUGGUGGUUCCUACUCUAAUCCAAUUGCUGGCUAAACUAUCAACUUGAUAGGCAGAGAUAUAAGAGGUCAGGAGUACACCUUGGAUUGCUAUAAUUUAUGAAUGUUUAAGAAAUCUCAAAGAGAAACUUAUUUUUCAUUUUCUCUAAGGAAAAGCAUAGUUUAUUGUGACUUUGAUAUUCUUAAAAAUAACGUGUGCUUCCCCUGUGUUUGACAUUAAAUGAAGAUAAAUGUUAUAUCUAUGUCUAAUUAUAUUCUCUCUAGUAUGCCCCAAGUAAUUUUGAUGAAUUUACAUUUAUCAUUAUAUUAUCUUAAGCUAGAAAUACAUAUGUGAAAAAUGUAGCCAAAUAAUUUAGAUUUUAUAGAGAUUCAUUUUCAAGGGCUCUGCUUUAAGAAUUCUAAUAGUCCUCAGACGCCUACAUUACAUCAGACAUACUUUUUAGAUGCUGUGCGUAACAGCAAUGGUGAUAGAAAUCUCAAAGUGGAAAUCCGCACGUCCUUUCUUUCAAGAUGGCUUGUUUUAGCCAAUUACACGUAAAGUGAUGUUGAAACAAGUAAUCCAUAACACCUGCUGGUAAUCAUAUUUGUGAGCUUUAUCUCUAGCAGUGUUAUCAUUCACCAGAUUGUUGCCAAUGGUCUCCUCCUAUUUUUUUACUUGAACUCAUGGGCUGACUAAAAUGAACCUAAAAAUAUUAACCUAAUAACAGCUUUGAAGAAUAACUUGCAUUAUUAAAUUCAUUGCUUGAAUUAACUAAGAAAAUAAUUUAUUUCAACAAAAAACCUGUAAUGAUAGCUCAGUUCACUCUUGUAGAAUCCAUUUAAUGAUA